CAGCAGCCACGGUAAUACGUAGGUGGCAAGCGUUGUCCGGAAUUAUUGGGCGUAAAGGGCUCGCAGGCGGUUUCUUAAGUCUGAUGUGAAAGCCCCCGGCUCAACCGGGGAGGGUCAUUGGAAGCUGGGAAACUUGAGUGCAGAAGAGGAGAGUGGAAUUCCACGUGUAGCGGUGAAAUGCGUAGAGAUGUGGAGGAACACCAGUGGCGAAGGCGACUCUCUGGUCUGUAACUGACGCUGAGGAGCGAAAGCGUGGGGAGCGAACAGGAUUAGAUACCCCCGUAGUCCCUGUCUCUUAUAC
Molecule: ribosomal RNA, 301 nt
Filed under: uncultured bacterium
Lineage: Bacteria
Description: partial 16S ribosomal RNA
Rfam family: Bacterial small subunit ribosomal RNA
Source: RNAcentral